CCUACGGGACCAGCAGUGGGGAAUCUUCCGCAAUGGACGAAAGUCUGACGGAGCAACGCCGCGUGAGUGAAGACGGCCUUCGGGUUGUAAAGCUCUGUUAUACGGGACGAACGAGAGUAUAGUUAAUACCUAUAUUCUGUGACGGUACCGUAAGAGAAAGCCACGGCUAACUACGUGCCAGCAGCCGCGGUAAUACGUAGGUGGCAAGCGUUGUCCGGAAUUAUUGGGCGUAAAGGGCGCGCAGGCGGUUUUACAAGUCGGUCUUAAAAGUGCGGGGCUCGACCCCGUGAGGGGACGGAAACUGG
Molecule: ribosomal RNA, 305 nt
Filed under: uncultured bacterium
Lineage: Bacteria
Description: bacterial SSU rRNA
Rfam family: Bacterial small subunit ribosomal RNA
Source: RNAcentral